GGAUUCAAAUGAGUUGUCCAGGCAGACUUCAAAAGUGUUUUGGCAUGCUGCUGGAGGUGUAGCCAAUUACAUAACCACAUGGUUUAAUCAAAAGCCCAGCGGAUGAGAUACAGAAAAUCCUCAGCUGUGUGUCAUAAGAGUUAAAAGAAAUCAAACAGCUCUCUGAAUGUGUAUGCAAGUGAUGAAGUUGCCCAAGACUGAUAUUCCAGCCCCAGAACAGAGCAAGAUAACCUUGAGCAUCUGCUUCUACAUGAGUUUGGAGGUGCUACUGAUGGCAAAAGAAGCCACAAGACCAGUUCUGCCUGUAUUUGAGAUCAGAGAGGAGAGAAUGGAUAUGUUUUUAAAAGCAUUUAUCCUUUUGGUGAGUUGUUGGUGAGGAACAGCCACUGUUAUCUGCACAAACUCAAAGUUGGAACAGUUCUUAGUAUCUUUCUGUGUUAAAUAUUGCCACAUAUCAUGUUCAUGUUUCUACCUAGGCCUUAAAUGCUGGGUGGUUUGUGAUCAUGAAGGUAUAUAGUGUGUAAUUGAUUUUAUAUUAAUCUACCUAAGAAAUGAUCCCUUUUCAUAGAUCGAGUCCCCUUCUUUAUUCCCUCUACUGCCAGCUGUAAGCUGAGAGAGAGACUUCCCCCCAUCCCCUUGGCACUCACCUUAAAGUAAGGGAAGUGUUCCGUCAUGAAAUUGUAAAUCUCACUGACUGGCAAACUCCCUGUCUUGCUGUUUUUGAGUGCCAUGAAGAUCAGGAUGCUUCAGAGAGAGAAAGAAAAAAAAAAAUUAGCUUAUUCUGCUUGACUCCUCAAAAGCAGAAAAAGAGUGGGUUUUUUACAGUGAAUGUAAUUACUGUGGCUUGCGCUGCCUGAGCAUGAACACUGAUGAUACUCAAAGUUUCCACCCAGUUGUUUACAAUCACUCUCCUUACACUGCUUAACUUUUUGAGGUAGUUCUCAAAGCACACAUAGAAGGUCCAGCCAGGGCUUAAAAUAAAGUAAUACAAACUGGAAUCAAGUCCACAGCCUUCAAAUUCUACUAAUGUGUUUUUAUUUAAGGUUGUGUUUGAAUGAUAAAGGCCCCAAGAAGAGUGUCAAAAUGAAAGUGAAAAAAGGUACAAUUAAAAUGCAAUUGUCUGGUCUACUGUGUUAAGCUGCUCUCUGGGGGCUAAACCUGUGUGGUGACUGGCAUAUCUGAUAGGUUUUUAGGCAUUUCUUUGCCAUAAUAACUGGAGAAAAAACAUGAGAUUUAAUACAGGUCCUGGAGAAGACAACUACAGGUGAUUAGUCUUGUGCUGAUGAAAUUUGCAGCACCUAAGUUUUCAUACUGGAGAAACAUCUAGCUGUUGUGGGGUCAUCAAAACUGUUCACAAGCUUUACAACAUUGCAUUUCCCUCUGCCUUGGCCCCUGAGUCUGGAACAUGUUGUGAUUCAUACAAACAGGACAGAGCACACUGGGAACAAGACAAAUAAGAAUAAGCAUGUUGUUGCAAAUGAUGCUGGAAAUAGGCCAUGGGUAAACAGUGUAUUUCCUGUAACAUUAGAACUUGAGAAAGUAUGUUAUUACCUGUAGGAGUAGAUGGGUUUGGGAAAC
Long non-coding RNA from Neopsephotus bourkii (Bourke's parrot), 1578 nucleotides. RefSeq lists it as uncharacterized. The record is from RefSeq and is a predicted model, not a curated record. Lineage: Eukaryota; Metazoa; Chordata; Aves; Psittaciformes; Psittacidae. The transcript is spliced from 3 exons.